Long non-coding RNA from Oreochromis aureus, 728 nucleotides. NCBI's taxonomy places the organism in Eukaryota, Metazoa, Chordata, Actinopteri, Cichliformes, Cichlidae. The record is from Ensembl.
CGCCACGCCGCGAGUCUGCACGUGCCUGUCGUGACCAAUCACAUUCGCGAGGCACGAAUAUAUGCCUUCCGGGUUGUCGCCUCGAACAGGUGCGGGGGAGAGGCGUUAGCGGAUGGAAGCAACAGAUGCGUGGGGGCUCGUAUGUGACAUCGCACGUAGUGAAUGUGCAGGCUAGUGGUGCCUUGGGGAGACCACAGCGGCACCACUACUUUGGAUGGCGAGCUAGGCCCAACGAGCCAGAACCCCAGCUACAACUUCCUGCGGUCUGGUAGGAGGCUGCUGUGGCCUACACUCUCCCCCCCUGGUUUUCAGUCCUCUGAAUCUCACUUCUGGGAUCUCAGUCUUGGAAUCUCAGUUCUGAUCAUCACACUUCCAAGUUCAAUCUGUUGCAGACUGUCAUGCGCAUUGGAUUUAUAUCAAUCAUGAAAUAGUAAUUUUAUGGACAUUGUCUGCCGGGGGUUGGAGGAGGUUGCUGCACCAUUGUGCAGCUGAUACUUUACAAGCUUGAAUUAUGUUUUAUCUUGUCCUGUCUGCAGAUUUUGUAAAUAUUGGUAUUUGGUAAUUGCACUUUAUUUUCACUGUAAAUAACAACCGUAAUCACAAUAUCUGUUGUGGUUGUAUGUUUAUUAUACUUCACUCACCUCCCAGAGCCGAAUCUGAUAUCUUCUGAAUUAGGUCAACUACUCAUAACUAACUCAAUUUAGUUUAGCUUAUGUACUUGCUACAUA